This is a long non-coding RNA of Triticum dicoccoides, 851 nucleotides long. RefSeq lists it as uncharacterized. The record is from RefSeq and is a predicted model, not a curated record. Lineage: Eukaryota; Viridiplantae; Streptophyta; Magnoliopsida; Poales; Poaceae. The transcript has 3 exons.
AAAAUCGUACUCUUGCCCGAUCCACUUUCUCCUUUCCUUCUUCUCUCCGCUCGCUCAUUCCAAAAUUCCUACGACCGAAUGAGAUCCGACUGGUAACUCAGCUACCAUCAGUUUGCUCUCCCUUUAGCUUGCUCGUCCUCGACUGAGGCACCUCCCAGCUCGACUCGCAUGUGAUGUGGGCUUGGAUCUUGUCUUCCGCUGCCAGCUUGAAUCCAUCUUCAGCAUGAGGAUGGCGGCAGCGUUGUCUUCCCCUAGCGCGCGAGCCAGACGCAUCGUCGUCGUUCCCAGUCGAGGCAGCCAGACACAUCGUCGUCUUCCUCCACAUCGGCAGCUUUCUUCGUCCUACAGGGGGAUGUGGAACCUCGAGUGUGCUCCCUAUAGAAGCAGCGCUGCAAUAUGAGAUGACACCACUGCUAGUACUAUCUUUCCUUCGGAACACAACUUUGCUGUGAUUGCCUCCGUAGGUGGAAACACAACCUUUCGAUGCAGGGAUCUUGAAAGUGCAUUUUGAACUGAAAUAUUCUUCAACACACGUCAUUGCCUGAUAUGUACGUGUACUUGAGGCACCUAUUGAUCUUAUCGUUUUCUAUAUACUGGUUAUCCAUCUUCACCUACAGUGGUAUUACUGUCAUAUUUUUUAGGGAACUUUCUUAUACAUGUGUUGUCGACCAUGCCACAUGGUCCAUGCAACAUGUAGUUCUCAACCACUACAUAUCCUUAUGGAUCAACUAGUCUUGAAUUUCAGUGCAUGUUAUCCUAUCUACCUCUGAUGGUUCGGGGUACUUGUGUUUCUUUUCCUUUCUGUCAAGGAAUAUGACUAUGUGGGCAUGUGGGAGAUCCCUUUUUUGGAA